Molecule: long non-coding RNA, 550 nt
Organism: Oncorhynchus gorbuscha (pink salmon)
Lineage: Eukaryota; Metazoa; Chordata; Actinopteri; Salmoniformes; Salmonidae
Exons: 3
Source: RefSeq, a predicted model, not a curated record
ACGGUGUCCUUCUCCUUCUCUUCUCAACUUUUUCCACGCUGUUCUAUUAACGAAGACAGGUGUUUGGCAGGAACCAAUGGGAUGCUUGGGGCAGGUGUUCCUGUAGAUACAGGAAUGCCCACAUGCAGGAACACCCCUAAAUUGCAGGCUGCAGUUGCACACUAAUUGUACUGGCUCGGUGAGAGGUUUGCGCUGCUCGAAUAUAAAAUUAAGUAUAUAUUUUUUUAAGAUGUAUAUUUCGCGCACAACAUAUGCCAAUAACGUUAUAUUAGUUUGAGUAUAAGUACCCGGGACUAUUUCACGUUCACGCAAGCCUACAUCUGAAAGAGACAUGAUGAGAGACCUUGCAUGAAAUUAGAGGAUCUGCUUGAAUAAAGAUGGAGCAUGGCGGUGUCUAUCCAAACAGUGUCUAUCCAAACAGUGUCUAUCCAAACAGUGUCUAUGCAGUGUCCUUUGCUUGGACCCGGAUGGUUAAGAGGAUGUAAACAGACAGCAGCUGCCAAACUAACCUGGAUUCAGAUGACCAUCCUACCCAUGCUAGAUUACGGAG